Molecule: non-coding RNA, 222 nt
Organism: Biomphalaria pfeifferi
Lineage: Eukaryota; Metazoa; Mollusca; Gastropoda; Planorbidae
Source: the annotation of a GenBank genome assembly
CUGUUCACACUCAUCAAUGUCUUGGACAAGAAGUAAAAAAGAGAAAUGUCAAUUCAAUCUUCUUUUGUGGCUAUGAGAUGUAUAAUGAUCACUAAACAUUUUGUUUAUUGAGAUCAAUCUUGUUAGAAUAUUUGUAUUAUACAGAUUUAGUAAAUGCUGUUUUUUUAAUUAUUGAAAUACUGAAAGUCUGCUGUUACCUUGACAUCCUGUGGUUUCUGUUGG